Molecule: transfer RNA, 72 nt
Filed under: Serratia fonticola
Lineage: Bacteria; Pseudomonadati; Pseudomonadota; Gammaproteobacteria; Enterobacterales; Yersiniaceae
Description: tRNA-Thr(ggt)
Source: RNAcentral
CGGCUGCGUGGAGAAGUUGUUUCCCCACGUAUGGUGGACGUGGGUUUCACCGUGGCACCCGGUGGCAGCAUC